AGAAGAGAAAUCAUUUAGGCUCAAGUAUUUUUUACCUGUUGUUGAUCGAGCAAUUGCUUCACCAACUAGGAGGUUUGAGCAAUACCAGAGGUAUGGAAAGACUUUUGAUUUUUUUGUUCACUUCACGUAAAUUGUGCUCCUUAGAUGAUAAGAGUUUGUUAUCUUUUUGUGCUUGUCUCGAGGAAGCACUUAAGAGUGGUGAACAUUCUGAUAUUGAUGGCAAAGAAUUACUUGUGGAGUUAAUGUUCCUCCAAAAUUUCAUCCCUAAGGAAGACAUGGGCCUUCUUGAUAUUCUGAAGUUUGUGAAACGGAUGAGCUAUUUCUCAAAUGUCCUUAUUGCAUACAAAAUUUUGUUAACUAUUCCUGUAACUGUUGCAUCUGCGGAGCGGAGCUUUUCAAAAUUGGAGUUAUUAAAGUCCUAAAUGCGUAGUACAAUAAAUGCGUAGUACAAUGACACAAGAAAGACUCAAUGGGUUGGCAACAAUUGCACUUCAAAAUGAUGUUUUGGAGAAGAUUAAAUAUGAAGAUAUAAUUGAAGAUUUCAUUUCAAAGAACACCAAAUGAAUGAUGCUUUUUACUAGAGGUUAAGAAGAUAUUGGUAUGUAAUAUUCAUCCUUUAAUCCUAUACCUAAUUUCAUAUUGCAGUUCUUUGUAUGCAAAAAAGCAUGUAUUUGUUACUCAUAUACUGGAAUCAAAAUAUAUCUCGAUUAUUUGUAUUUCACUACUAUAGUAUAGGGCUCAUUUCUUAGUUUGCUUCAGGCCUCAAAAUCUCCGGUACGGCUUUAUGUAUCGAACUUUUAAUUUCUUUAAAAAAUGCAACUUGAUGAAGUAGAUUUCUACCCCUUCACCGUGAUUUCUCAUUGAUUAAUUUGACCAACUUUACUACUUGAUACAGUACUGAUUUUAAUAAGGCAGUAAAUUAUGUCACUGCAGCAAAUUAUGCCAUUGCGGGGGCUGUAAGCUAUGCCAUUGCGAGUCAUAAUGUGCUGUGUAAAGGGUCGAAAAUUAACUAGGUGAAAUUAGUUAACACUCAUCAUAAUUCAAUGUUUCUCCUUUUGGCAGGCCUAGAGGCGUGAAGACUGUUUUAGAGGCAGAUCACUAUCUAUUAGCACUGGUACUAUUUGGUUUGACGAUAUCAUCAGGCUACGUGAUGACAGAGCUUUGGCGCCUCAAGCACAUGCCAUUUAGCGGCCCCCGGCCCCGCGUUCCGGAUGUGGGCUAUGGCGAUUAUGAGGACGGUGGCGAAGGCGAUGACUAGAUCCUCUUUACUUACCUAGAUAGCAUAUCUAUUUGUGUAACACUAGUAUUUAUCUGGUUUUCUAUCACUCUGUAACUGUUAUGAACAUCUAAAGGCAUACGGAGC
This 1363-nucleotide long non-coding RNA is filed under the name Setaria italica (foxtail millet). RNAcentral describes it as "long non-coding RNA (SITA_LNC003596)". The record is from RNAcentral. Lineage: Eukaryota; Viridiplantae; Streptophyta; Magnoliopsida; Poales; Poaceae.